CAGCCCCGCGGUAAUACGAAGGGUGCAAGCGUUAAUCGGAAUUACUGGGCGUAAAGCGUGCGUAGGCGGUUUGUUAAGUCUGUUGUGAAAUCCCCGGGCUCAACCUGGGAAUGGCAAUGGAUACUGGCAAGCUAGAGUGUGUCAGAGGAUGGUGGAAUUCCCGGUGUAGCGGUGAAAUGCGUAGAGAUCGGGAGGAACAUCAGUGGCGAAGGCGGCCAUCUGGGACAACACUGACGCUGAGGCACGAAAGCGUGGGGAGCAAACAGGAUUAGAUACCCCGGUAGUCCCUGUCUCUUAUACA
RNAcentral lists this ribosomal RNA (301 nucleotides) under uncultured bacterium. RNAcentral describes it as "partial 16S ribosomal RNA". It matches the Rfam family "Bacterial small subunit ribosomal RNA", at positions 509 to 808 of the family's 1533-position model. The record is from RNAcentral.